GGAAUCUUAGACAAUGGGGGAAACCCUGAUCUAGCGAUGCCGCGUGAGUGAUGAAGGCCCUAGGGUCGUAAAGCUCUUUCGCCUGGGAAGAUAAUGACUGUACCUGUUAAAGAAACCCCGGCUAACUCCGUGCCAGCAGCCGCGGUAAUACGGAGGGGGUUAGCGUUGUUCGGAAUUACUGGGCGUAAAGCUCACGUAGGCGGAUCAGAAAGUAAGAGGUGAAAUCCCAGGGCUCAACCCUGGAACUGCCUUUUAAACUCCUGGUCUUGAGUUCGAGAGAGGUGAGUGGAAUUCCAAGUGUAGAGGUGAAAUUCGUAGAUAUUUGGAGGAACACCAGUGGCGAAGGCGGCUCACUGGCUCGAUACUGACGCUGAGGUGCGAAAGCGUGGGGAGCAAAC
Molecule: ribosomal RNA, 398 nt
Filed under: uncultured bacterium
Lineage: Bacteria
Description: bacterial SSU rRNA
Rfam family: Bacterial small subunit ribosomal RNA
Source: RNAcentral